This 329-nucleotide ribosomal RNA is filed under the name Acinetobacter junii. RNAcentral describes it as "bacterial SSU rRNA". It matches the Rfam family "Bacterial small subunit ribosomal RNA", at positions 788 to 1116 of the family's 1533-position model. Lineage: Bacteria; Pseudomonadati; Pseudomonadota; Gammaproteobacteria; Moraxellales; Moraxellaceae. The record is from RNAcentral.
UGGUAGUCCAUGCCGUAAACGAUGUCUACUAGCCGUUGGGGCCUUUGAGGCUUUAGUGGCGCAGCUAACGCGAUAAGUAGACCGCCUGGGGAGUACGGUCGCAAGACUAAAACUCAAAUGAAUUGACGGGGGCCCGCACAAGCGGUGGAGCAUGUGGUUUAAUUCGAUGCAACGCGAAGAACCUUACCUGGCCUUGACAUACUAGAAACUUUCCAGAGAUGGAUUGGUGCCUUCGGGAAUCUAGAUACAGGUGCUGCAUGGCUGUCGUCAGCUCGUGUCGUGAGAUGUUGGGUUAAGUCCCGCAACGAGCGCAACCCUUUUCCUUACUU